AGAGUUUGAUCCUGGCUCAGAACGAACGCUGGCGGCAGGCUUAACACAUGCAAGUCGAACGCCCCGCAAGGGGAGUGGCAGACGGGUGAGUAACGCGUGGGAACAUACCCUUUCCUGCGGAAUAGCUCCGGGAAACUGGAAUUAAUACCGCAUACGCCCUACGGGGGAAAGAUUUAUCGGGGAAGGAUUGGCCCGCGUUGGAUUAGCUAGUUGGUGGGGUAAAGGCCUACCAAGGCGACGAUCCAUAGCUGGUCUGAGAGGAUGAUCAGCCACAUUGGGACUGAGACACGGCCCAAACUCCUACGGGAGGCAGCAGUGGGGAAUAUUGGACAAUGGGCGCAAGCCUGAUCCAGCCAUGCCGCGUGAGUGAUGAAGGCCCUAGGGUUGUAAAGCUCUUUCACCGAUGAAGAUAAUGACGGUAGUCGGAGAAGAAGCCCCGGCUAACUUCGUGCCAGCAGCCGCGGUAAUACGAAGGGGGCUAGCGUUGUUCGGAAUUACUGGGCGUAAAGCGCACGUAGGCGGGUAUUUAAGUCAGGGGUGAAAUCCCGGAGCUCAACUCCGGAACUGCCUUUGAUACUGGGUACCUAGAGUAUGGAAGAGGUAAGUGGAAUUCCGAGUGUAGAGGUGAAAUUCGUAGAUAUUCGGAGGAACACCAGUGGCGAAGGCGGCUUACUGGUCCAUUACUGACGCUGAGGUGCGA
This 700-nucleotide ribosomal RNA is filed under the name uncultured Rhizobiaceae bacterium. Its description in RNAcentral is "bacterial SSU rRNA". It matches the Rfam family "Bacterial small subunit ribosomal RNA", at positions 8 to 756 of the family's 1533-position model. The record is from RNAcentral. Lineage: Bacteria; Pseudomonadati; Pseudomonadota; Alphaproteobacteria; Hyphomicrobiales; Rhizobiaceae.